GGGAAGAGUGAUGGGUCUUCUAAAAGAAUCUACAUUUUUUUGCUCUCAGUUCGUGGACAUGUUUGUGAGUGAGACCCAAGGAAGCAGACUGCUGCUGGUGGCCAUCCCAAGUCCAUGA
Molecule: long non-coding RNA, 118 nt
Filed under: Ictidomys tridecemlineatus (thirteen-lined ground squirrel)
Lineage: Eukaryota; Metazoa; Chordata; Mammalia; Rodentia; Sciuridae
Description: lncRNA (ENSSTOG00000032897.1)
Source: RNAcentral